Molecule: long non-coding RNA, 1756 nt
Organism: Marmota monax (woodchuck)
Lineage: Eukaryota; Metazoa; Chordata; Mammalia; Rodentia; Sciuridae
Exons: 2
Source: RefSeq, a predicted model, not a curated record
UUAUCUGCCCACGUGGGGGGCUCGGAGUCGGCACGGCCAGGAGGCUGGGCGCUGGAGCCCGUGCCCCCCCCCACCCCCCCGCACUUCCGGGGGGCGGGAGCACCGCCCUUAAGGUGGCUCUGUGAGGUCCCGGAGCUGGCGAAGGAAAGUGGGCUUAAGUUUGGGGACGGUCUUGAGAGUCGGUUCCCUAUGUUGAGAACGUUCGGAAGUUUGUCUCUUGUUCAAGUUCAGGGGUCCGCACGGCUGUGUGGCUGCGCCGCAGAAGCCAAGCUAUUUCAUUGCUGGAUACGGAUUUAGCUGAGUCCCCUGCACCCUACUUCACCCUCCCGGAACGUGUGGGAAAGCGUGCAGAGGAUUCAGCUUUGCUUCCCAGGGCGGUCUUUUUAGGGGUGGAAUUAGGGUGCAACUCAGCGUCUAGAUGGGAAUGAGCAUUCCGGAAAUCAGAAAUUCAGGGAACCGAGAGUUCGCCUGCGCCCGACUCCCGCCCCCGCGCAACGUGCGCACCUCCCCACCCCCAGCACACACUAUAGCACUCCUUCCGCCCUGAUUUGCCUCUGGGAAAACAAGCCGGAGAGCUGGGGGCAGUCUCCCAAAAUCACGCCGCGGAGAACUGGGUGUCUGGAAUAGAAGCGUGCUUAUAUCUCUCCACUCCCUGUCUGGUGGUGGGCCCAUAUUCUGUGCAGCCUCUAGGAAGCGCUAGACCCAUGUGUCUUUCACCAACCAGAGGCCAAGCAUCAAGAAGGCAGAAGAAAGUAUCUCUUGGUCUUCACUGAGUCUACAGCAUCUAGCAUGGCCCAGAGAGUGUGCUCAGUCAAUCUGGGUUAUUCAUCAGAGGUUUUGGUCAAGGAGAAGUACAGAACUGUACAUCACCCUUAUGGGCAUGCCUAGACUGCACUCAAAAUUUCCACAAAACUUUCAGGAUCAUAAAGUAGCCAGAGUCCUUCUGGGUGAUCUUCCAAGACCUGUCCUUCUCCCAGUGAAGGACCUCCUUUGGCAGCAUCUUGGCUACUUAAAUAUUGUAGCCACAGAGUGAGGACAUGAUGCCCAGAGAGCAGUAGUACUAAUCCUACUUAGUGCUGCUGGCUGGACACCUGCAGGAAUACUGUGGGUAUGAAACUUGGAGAGCAAUUUUGGCCAACCAUAGAGAUCUGAAGGUAGGAUGGCAACACCAUAAGAGACCUGAAACCAUGCUCCAUGGGAAAGAACGGAAAGAACUGGGAUUAUUCAGGUGGGCAUGGGGUAGGGAUGGUGGGGACAAGACAGAACAUAUAGGAGUCUCCAAAUAGGGGGAGUUGACUUUACUCUGUAGGCUUUGAGGUCAGAGCUAGAGUAAUGGUUAGACGUUAGAGAAGACAGCUGCUAUAUUUAAGGAAGAACUUUGUGAAAUUAGUUAUUUAUCAAUAGGACAAUUACUUUAACUGUAGAAUUGAAGUCCCUCCACUCAACACAUAUUUAUUGUUUUCUAUGUUCCAGACACUCUGUAAGGUUAGUUUAUGAUAAUUCCUCGCAAGCACAUAGUACUUGUGGUAUUCAUCACUUAUUUUCACAGUUCAUAAAAGCCAUCUUAAGUAGUCUCAUUUAGAAUUUGGAGUUUGUCUCCAACAUUAGUGGUUUCUCAAUUCUAGAGUUACACAUUUUUACUCACAAAAUUUGUAAACUGCAUUGAUGUUUUCUCAUGUCCAAUGUUAGUUAUAUGGACAUUCUUCUAUCAAAACAAGUGUUUUCAGUAUCAUAAAUCAAAAUUACCUAGACUUUA